This 586-nucleotide ribosomal RNA is filed under the name uncultured bacterium. RNAcentral describes it as "bacterial SSU rRNA". It matches the Rfam family "Bacterial small subunit ribosomal RNA", at positions 338 to 916 of the family's 1533-position model. The record is from RNAcentral.
CCUACGGGAGGCAGCAGUAGGGAAUCUUCCACAAUGGACGAAAGUCUGAUGGAGCAACGCCGCGUGAGUGAUGAAGGUUUUCGGAUCGUAAAACUCUGUUGUAAGGGAAGAACAAGUACGAGAGGGAAUGCUCGUACCUUGACGGUACCUUGCGAGAAAGCCACGGCUAACUACGUGCCAGCAGCCGCGGUAAUACGUAGGUGGCAAGCGUUGUCCGGAAUUAUUGGGCGUAAAGCGCGCGCAGGCGGCCUUUUAAGUCUGAUGUGAAAGCCCCCGGCUCAACCGGGGAGGGUCAUUGGAAACUGGAAGGCUUGAGUACAGAAGAGAAGAGUGGAAUUCCAUGUGUAGCGGUGAAAUGCGUAGAGAUGUGGAGGAACACCAGUGGCGAAGGCGACUCUUUGGUCUGUAACUGACGCUGAGGCGCGAAAGCGUGGGGAGCAAACAGGAUUAGAUACCCUGGUAGUCCACGCCGUAAACGAUGAGUGCUAGGUGUUGGGGGGUUUCCGCCCCUCAGUGCUGAAGCUAACGCAUUAAGCACUCCGCCUGGGGAGUACGGCCGCAAGGCUGAACUUAAAGGAAUUGACGG